GACGAACGCUGGCGGCGUGCCUAAUACAUGCAAGUAGAACGCUGAAGAGAGGAGCUUACUCUUCUUGGAUGAGUUGCGAACGGGUGAGUAACGCGUAGGUAACCUUCCUUGUAGCGGGGGAUAACUAUUGGAAACGAUAGCUAAUACCGCAUAACAAUGGAUGACACAUGUCAUUUAUUUGAAAGGGGCAAUUGCUCCACUACAAGAUGGACCUGCGUUGUAUUAGCUAGUAGGUGAGGUAAUGGCUCACCUAGGCGACGAUACAUAGCCGGCCUGAGAGGGUGAACGGCCACACUGGGACUGAGACACGGCCCAGACUCCUACGGGAGGCAGCAGUAGGGAAUCUUCGGCAAUGGGGGCAAGCCUGACCGAGCAACGCCGCGUGAGUGAAGAAGGUUUUCGGAUCGUAAAGCUCUGUUGUUAGUGAAGAACGGGUAUGAGGGGAGAAAGGUCACGCUGUGACGGUAGCAAACCAGAAAGGGACGGCUAACUACGUG
RNAcentral lists this ribosomal RNA (497 nucleotides) under uncultured bacterium. Its description in RNAcentral is "partial 16S ribosomal RNA". It matches the Rfam family "Bacterial small subunit ribosomal RNA", at positions 28 to 507 of the family's 1533-position model. The record is from RNAcentral.